Molecule: ribosomal RNA, 119 nt
Filed under: Helianthus annuus (common sunflower)
Lineage: Eukaryota; Viridiplantae; Streptophyta; Magnoliopsida; Asterales; Asteraceae
Source: RNAcentral
GGUUGCGAUCAUACCAGCACUAAUGCACCAGAUCCCAUCAGAACUCCGCAGUUAAGCGUGCUUGGGCGAGAGUAGUACUAGGAUGGGUGACCCUCUGGGAAGUCCUCGUGUUACACCCU